GUGCCACUGGUUACGGUGCACGCGUGCCAGGGGUUGCCGACCCCUGACUUAACUUAUGAGGCAAUAAACCUGUGUGUGAGAAGGUUUGGACCCCCCUGCUCUAAAGUGACAUCAAGUCCAUGAGAUGGGCCAGAACCUGAGCCUCACUUCUGACUUCCUUCCUCUUUCGAUGUGUCCUGCUCACUGUGUGUUCAUUGUGUUUCUCUAGUGGGAUGGGCAACUCCUAAAGCGUCUAGGCUGCCAAAACUAGAGCCCCUCGGAGACUCCAGACAUUCUGAAUUUCACAAGAAGCCUCUGCCUCCUCUCGCCAAGCGGCCGAACGGCGACUCUCACGACAUCGUUUUUUAGACUUCCUGUUACCGAUUGAGCUCGUCCAAUCAUGGCUCUCUCUCCCUCCUUUCUUUUUGUUUGCUUUCUGUCUCAAGCGAGCGCCGUGUAGACGCCACACUCAGAGACUCCUGAGGCGCCGAAGACUACGAAACCCAGGAGCAUCAUGGGAAAUGAAGUGCUGAUGGGAAGCAGCUUCACAAACGGACACGAUUGAGUGACGGUGCUUUCUUUAGACUGACAUUUUCUACUGUUAUCAGUGUUAGACGGUACGUGUGUCCCACAGAAAGGCUUUGAACUGACUCAGAAUGUAAAUAUGUCCACUAUAACCUUAUAUAUGUGUAUGUCUGUUUCUGAAUAAUGGAUUUGUACACACACGCCGCCAUUAAACAAUGACCAUAUAUGUUCAUUUUGCACCUUCGGUUUUGUAGUGUAGACAAAAGGUGUUUUGAUAUCUCGGAGGUCUUAAGUGGCUUUUCACAGCUCAGUGCUUUAAAUCUGAUCUUUUUUCACGGUGGGAACAGUUUCCCUUUUUACAAAACAAGCAGACGUGUGUGUGUGGUUCGCCGCACUUCGCUGUACUGUACAUGGAGAAAUAAAUACACUACAUUAUUAUUGUUGUUAAAGGGUCAAUUUUAGAUAUGAAUGUUUUGACAUUUCACGUUUUGUCUCAUAAGGGAUUUGUAUUUAUUGUUUAAAAUGUAAACAUAUAUUUGUCUUUAUUUGUCUACAGGGCUACAGAUUGUUUACACUGUGUAUCUGCUUUUUAAAGUGACAUUUCUCUCGAGGCAGACUCCCCAAAGACGUGAGCCUGCUGCUGUUUUUGUUCCAGCUUUUCCCGCACCCAUUUUCACUUUGAUAAAAAGCUGAAAAUAGCAAAAUAAAAGAAAUCAUCUCAAUAAGCACAAAUCAGGAUUAAAGAACUUGGAAAGCCAACAUUGCCCCAGUUUAGAGUUUGCAGGAAGGGAGGAGAACAUUUCUUCACCUGGAACUGCCAAUACUGGGUCAGAACACAUGAGAAUAUGUGCAGAAAAAGGAAAGAAAUAUCACUUUAAAAACAUUGAGUACUGUAUUUCAGAUCCACAUCACAGCACUCACUCUCUGUUAAUGAGCUAGAUGUUUGAAGAAAUAUUUUUUCUACGCAGUUUGGAUUUUAUAACCGCACAAUAAAAUAUGUUUUUCCGUAUUUA
Molecule: long non-coding RNA, 1517 nt
Organism: Notothenia coriiceps (black rockcod)
Lineage: Eukaryota; Metazoa; Chordata; Actinopteri; Perciformes; Nototheniidae
Exons: 2
Source: RefSeq, a predicted model, not a curated record